GCUUGCGUAGCUUAAUGGGAGAGCACCACUUCAAAUUUGGAGGUUGAACAGGUUUCAAGUGGAAACCCGAGUUCGACUCUCGGCGCAAACA
Mycena vulgaris is the source of this 91-nucleotide non-coding RNA. The record is from the annotation of a GenBank genome assembly. NCBI's taxonomy places the organism in Eukaryota, Fungi, Basidiomycota, Agaricomycetes, Agaricales, Mycenaceae.